UAUAUUAUGUUUCUAUUUAGCUAACAUAGUUUUAGGCAUAUUUUCUUAGGGAUCUUUCCUUAUCAAUAUCUUAUUAUAGAAAUAUUUAUGUAUAUAUAUCUUUAUAAUUUAUUAUUGAAUGAAUAAGAAGAAUUCAUAUUCUCUUCUUUAAUGUUCAUAUGAAUAUUGAGAUAUACUAACUCUACUAGAAGUAAAAACAAAUUGUGAUUAUUUUAUUUUUUUUUCUUCUUUUGCUAGAUGUUUCGAAAUAUGUCGGUUAAGAUAACCUGUUCCAUCAAAAAUAUCACAAAAAUAAUAAGCCUCACAUAUUGUACAAACAGUUUGCAAACCUUGUCCUUCAAUUUUUUUGAUAUUGAAAUACUUCCAUAUUUAGUUUGUUCUUUGUUUAAACACUUUUUUAGAGCUUGCGUUUAAAUUUUGUGGAGGUUGCGCUUUGUCAUUACCUUGUAUAGAGCCAUCGGCUAUAGUUUCUGGUUGAUUACUGACAUAAUACUGAGGAGUAUUAUUAGUAUAGAAAAAAUCUUUAUGAGAAAAUUCACGUGAAAUUGUUAUAAAAAAAUAACAUAAUAAAUACUAAUAAAUAAUAAAAUAAAAAUAUUUGAAAAAAAUUUAAAAAUUAAAAAUUAAGAGAUUAAAUAUUGUCUUGAGAUUGAUAUUUUGUAUGGUGGGUGGGAUUAUAGAGAGAUUUUGUAAAAAGAGGUGUUGAAAAAAUUAAAAAAUUUUGUAAAUUAAUUUGAAAGAAAGAAAAUUUUAGAUUGAAAAUUUAAGAGUAGAAAGAUUUAGUGUCUGUAGAAGAAAAAGAAUGAAGAAUUACUUGUUGUGAUGAAUUUGGAGAUUUGUAGGAAUAUUUAUAGAUGUAAAAAAAUCUUUAAAUUAUUUUAAAAUUUAUAAAAAUAUUUAAUUUUAAUUUUUUGGCCAAAAUACCCUCUCUACUU
This 935-nucleotide long non-coding RNA is filed under the name Ananas comosus (pineapple). RNAcentral's name for it is "long non-coding RNA (ACOM_LNC000640)". The record is from RNAcentral. Lineage: Eukaryota; Viridiplantae; Streptophyta; Magnoliopsida; Poales; Bromeliaceae.